Molecule: long non-coding RNA, 2984 nt
Organism: Pezoporus occidentalis (night parrot)
Lineage: Eukaryota; Metazoa; Chordata; Aves; Psittaciformes; Psittacidae
Exons: 2
Source: RefSeq, a predicted model, not a curated record
AAAGGUUAUGGUUUUAAAAAAAUAGCUUAAAUAUAUAAACUCAGAAGAAAUGCUGACUUAAUGCUUACACAGGCUUUAACAAGAAGCUGAUUAACUUGUACAGUUCUAGCUGUUCAUUGUAAAGAAACUUCAAAUAGGUUUGUAGGACUACAGUGACUGCUGGGCUGUAUAACUAAUCUUUUUGCAUCUUUUGCAUUCAGGCAUCUUUUUGCCUGAGUAACUAACAUAGGAUUUAUAGCUUCUAGCUGGAUGCUGGAUUAGUUUGUGAUCUAGAACAUGCUUUUCACUGUUAUAGUCAAAUUGAAACCCAGUUUCUUGAGAGGUGGAAGUAGUUCCUUAAAGCACGAGAUUAUUCAAUUUUUAAAGGGCCUAAUGUCUGUUUCAUUGUUUCUUUGGAAGUGAUAAUUAAAAUGUUAACAGCAACUGGCAGCAAAACUGUCAAUUUGAGUGUCAAUGUAAACAUUUCUAGGCAGUGUAGAGGAGUUCACUUUAAAAACAGCACAACUUCGACUUGCCACUCUUGAUCUUGACUGAUACUUUCAAGUACUUUCCAAAAAGGCAAAAUGGAGGAAGGGGUUAACGUUAGAGCCUGUGUGUAAUAGACAAAAUAGGUUCUCUUUUUGCUUUUCAGAUAAGCGACAGUGACCUACUUUAUUGGAGGGAGCUGGUCUCAAAAUGCCUAGCAGAUUAUUCCUCUCCUGAGUGUUGCAAGCCUGAUCAUAAGAAGCUAGUUUGGAUUGUUUCUAGACGUACAGCCCAGAAUCUACAAAACAGUUACUACAGUGUUCCAGAGUUGCCAACAAUACCAGAGGGUGGAUGUCUCAAUGAAAGUGAGAGCGAAGACUCCUCUGAAGAUAUGAGCAGUGGAGAAGAAAUCCUUAGCAGUUCUCCUCCGAGUGAUCUGGAAGGCACCUUCUUCUUCAAACUUGAACCUAAAACAAAAUGGCAAGCUCUUAGCUGUCAUUCGUAGCAUCAAAUCUUGAUUGUAUUAGGUUGAACUUUUAAAUGCACCAUAGAGUGUUUUGGCAAUAAUAAGUGAGGUGGUAAUGUGUAAACUGUAUUAAGGCAAGAAUUGCUGUGGUAUGUAAACGCCUUGUUUUUUUGUUGUUGUAAUUUUAAGGAAGGCAAAAAAAUCCCAUUCAGGUUCCCAGUUCGGCAAAAAAGUCCAUGUAUAGUUCUGUUGUCACUAAGCAUAAAUGUUCUGUAUCUGUUGGUCCAAAAUGCUUAGCAGCUAAACGCACAAACGGUAAUGGAGGCUGACAGCAUACUGAGCUAUGUUAACAGGAAUGUAGCUAGUAGAUUGAGGGAAGUAGGGUUUUUUUCCUCCCUUUACAUGGCAUUCUCACUUGGAACAGUGUCCAGUUUGGGGCUCAAGAUGUUGAUCAACUUGCACAAGUUCAACAGGGAGCUGCCAGGAUGGGUAAGUGAUGUGGGGCGCAGGACCUGUGAAGAGAGGCUAAGCAAAAUUAGCUUAUUCAGCCUGGCAAAACGGACUUGGGGGAUGGAAAUGGGACUGAACAGCAGGCUUUUGGUAUCAAAGAGAAGUUUGUGGAUGAGGAGAUUAUUUCAGGGUCUUGGCUGAGAAGUGUGGAGCAAGAAUUGAGAGGCUUUCAUUAAAAUGAAAUAUGCGGUUCUCUCCUCAUGGAAGGAGUUUGCUCCAUGGGGUCAGUUAAACAUGGACGUGGACCAAGAGAGGCUGUGCAGUCUGUCCUGGGGAGUGCGCAGGAUUCAGCACUGGUGCAAUCCCAAGCUUGAUUUGAAUUCAGUGUUGACCCUUCUUUGAGCCAGGAGGUUGGGUGAGAGUCCUCUUGAGGGCAUCUUCACUCUUACCCAGCUUGUUCUAAUCCCAGAAUACUGAGUAGGUUAUGUGGAAUGAGAUGUAUGGGUAAUACCAGACUGAAAUGAUUUACUGUCAAAUGCUGAAAGUGCUUUAACACUUGACAUGCUGUGCACCUUUUCAGCAGGAUCUUUUGUACUCGAAGCAGAUUUUUUUUUUUAAGUUUGUUUUUUGUAAACUUGAGAAAUUCCUGUUUCCCAACAGGAGUAUGUAUGGCAAGAAUGAUAUUUCCAGUUAAUGCUAGCUUUCACUGAAGGAUAGUAUCAAGUAUGUGGCUGGGAGUAGUUUCAUAUUUUCUUUAAUACAGAUGGUUUUUACACUGAAAUUCACUUUGUCAAUUUCAGUGUGUUUUAAAAUGCUAACUGUUAACAUGUCAGUCCAUACUACUAGCUUAGACUUAUUAACGUGGUAAAUCUUGGUAAGUCUACAUUCCUUUAAAUAUUUAACCCUUGUGGUUGUUUUUCAGUAUAUUCAUGUUAUUGAGUCAUCAUCAGACUUGUUUGCAUGCUUAUAUAAGGCAGUUAGUGCAGGAAAAGUUGAUAUGCAGUAAUAUCAGGUAAAUGUGAUGUUGAUGAAGUAGUUAAUGUAAUGGGUUGUUUUCAGACCUUGCUUUAUUAAAGCACAAAUUGAAGUAAGAUUGGUUUCUUCAUACUGAGAACACAGCUAGGUAGCAAGGAGACUUAAGUAGCUCAGAACAAUGGUGUGAAGUGUGUUGGUGCCAAAGUAGAAAUGAAGGAGCAAACAAGCUAAAAGCUGGUAGGUGCAAGCCUUCUUGUAGAAAGGUAAGUUCAGUGCUGUGAGUUCAUAACUGUUAUGUGAUUUCAAUUUCAUAAAAAUAUGAAAAAGUUUACAAAAAUGUAUAUAAAAAUGUAAAUUACAAAAUGUACAGAAAAAAAUUUAAAACAAAUGAGCAGAAAAUACUGUAUUUUUUUACAUUGUAUGUAACUUUUUGUAGGUAUGUUGCAUGUACAUAGUAAUUUAUUGUGUACUCUCUAUGUUACAAAUACUGUACAUCUGCAGACUUGUUACUGCAAGUCCUGUGCCUGGAAGCUCACUUCUCAAAUGGAGUACUUUGGUUGCAGGUAACAAACCUCCUGAGUCUUGUUUCAGUUGAGAACAAAAAUAAACCAAGUGCUGGAUUUGUUAA